Microplitis demolitor is the source of this 458-nucleotide long non-coding RNA. RefSeq lists it as uncharacterized. The transcript has 2 exons. Lineage: Eukaryota; Metazoa; Arthropoda; Insecta; Hymenoptera; Braconidae. The record is from RefSeq and is a predicted model, not a curated record.
CAAUAGCAAUCAGCUACAUUGCUGAAGUAAUAAUAAAUCAUUAAAAGAUCAAAAUUAUUGAAAAUAUAUCAAUCUAAUUAUGAACCAAGACGAAAUUCAUGAUCUUGUUUGUGAAACAAACAGAAAUAUAAUAAAAUUAAAAAAACUAUUAGAAUUAACUCAAAAGUUUCGAGUUGAAGCUGUUGAACUGGAGAUGAUGAUAUUUCAAAUGUAUCAAUCAGUUCUCUUGAAAGAACUGGAAGAAUUAAAAGCAAGAUCUAAUAAUUCUGAUAAGAAUACAGAAAAAAAAUAAAUAAUUAAUAUGAAUAAUUCACAGCAAUCCAAUAUAUUAUUUAUCUAAAAGACAUUUGUUUAAAAAUUUUACUUAUGAUAAGAAUAUAAUCAGAUCUAUUAUAAUAAUUAUUGUAAAAGAAUUAAUUUAGAUGUUUACAAAAAAAAAUGUAUUAAUUUGUGAAUGA